RNAcentral lists this ribosomal RNA (253 nucleotides) under uncultured bacterium. RNAcentral's name for it is "partial 16S ribosomal RNA". It matches the Rfam family "Bacterial small subunit ribosomal RNA", at positions 524 to 776 of the family's 1533-position model. The record is from RNAcentral.
UACGUAGGGGGCUAGCGUUGUCCGGAAUCAUUGGGCGUAAAGGGUGCGUAGGCGGGUCUUUAAGUCAGGGGUGAAAUCCUGGAGCUCAACUCCAGAACUGCCUUUGAUACUGAAGAUCUUGAGUUCGGGAGAGGUGAGUGGAACUGCGAGUGUAGAGGUGAAAUUCGUAGAUAUUCGCAAGAACACCAGUGGCGAAGGCGGGUCUCUGGACAGUUCCUGACGCUGAGGCACGAAGGCCAGGGGAGCAAACGGG